UUUUCCGCCGGUCCUACUGCUGCUAGGGUUAGGACGGGGGCGUCGCCUCCGCCGGGAUGAACGCCGCCUCCAUGACAACCGAGGCUACAAGGUUGCCCUUCCUUGGAGUCGUGGAAUCUGCUGCACAUUCCUUGGAGUUUUAUUUCUGUUCCAUCAAGAUACAGGUUCAGAGUUUUUCCCAUUUUCGGAAUCAUGGUUUCUCUUAUGUCUAUCUACUUUGAAGCAAAAGCUUCUUGCCGUGUGUGUUGCUGUGUUGUACCACUUGUACCAGUUUGCUUCUUUGGAGUAGUUAAUUUUCUUUUCUAUUUUGUUGGUUGGGGCUAUAUUCCAGUAGGAAUGCAGAGAACUGUAGUUAUAUUCUUAUAAUCUGAUACUAUGAUUAUGUUCCUUA
Molecule: long non-coding RNA, 391 nt
Organism: Lolium rigidum
Lineage: Eukaryota; Viridiplantae; Streptophyta; Magnoliopsida; Poales; Poaceae
Exons: 2
Source: RefSeq, a predicted model, not a curated record